GAUGAACGCUAGCUACAGGCUUAACACAUGCAAGUCGAGGGGUAACGAGAGGAAAGCUUGCUUUCCUUGUCGACGACCGGCGCACGGGUGAGUAACGCGUACCGAACCUGCCCCCAACUAGGGAAUAACCUUGCGAAAGUAAGACUAAUACCCUAUAAUUUCCACAGAUGACAUCCGAAGAGGAAUAAAGAAUUAACGGUUGGGGAUGGGGAUGCGUCUGAUUAGCUUGUUGGCGGGGUAAGGGCCCAACAAGGCAACGAUCAGUAGGUGUUAAGAGAGGAAGGUCACCCACGUAGGAACAGAGACACGGUCGAGACUCGUACGGGAGGCAGCAGUGAGGAAUAUUGGUCAAUGGGCGAAAGCCUGAACCAACCAAGUAGCGUGCAGGAUGACGGCCCUAUGGGUUGUAAACUUCUUUUAUACAGGAAUAAAGUUAGCCACGUGUGGUUAUUUGUAGGUACUGUAUGAAUAAGGACCGGCUAAUUCCGUGCCAGCAGCCGCCGUAA
RNAcentral lists this ribosomal RNA (506 nucleotides) under uncultured bacterium. Its description in RNAcentral is "partial 16S ribosomal RNA". It matches the Rfam family "Bacterial small subunit ribosomal RNA", at positions 28 to 523 of the family's 1533-position model. The record is from RNAcentral.